Long non-coding RNA from Papaver somniferum (opium poppy), 626 nucleotides. RefSeq lists it as uncharacterized. The record is from RefSeq and is a predicted model, not a curated record. Lineage: Eukaryota; Viridiplantae; Streptophyta; Magnoliopsida; Ranunculales; Papaveraceae. The transcript is spliced from 2 exons.
UCUUUUCUUCUUUCCCUUUUCCUUUUUUCUUUUCUUUGGUGAUUUCUCUCGAACCCUGAAAAUUUAGAGAACAUGACCGAGAUCACGAAAAUUAGUAAGCCCUGUGGGGGUAAAAUCACACCUAGUUGUUGAUGGCUCUCAUGCAUGUUGAUUGGAUUAUAAGUGGAGAAGAGGGAUUUUUAUUCUUCAAUUUGAUUUGAAACAAAUGAUUUCCACUGCAUUAAUCAAUGUGAUUGUUAUGGAAUGAUGGGUUUGUGAUAUUAAAUGCAUAUGAUUGAUAUUUAGAUCAGACUAAAUGGUUGAUUUGGAGGUGAUGGUUAGUGGCGGCGGCGGUGCUGCUUGGUAGUUGAGAAAUUGGUCUGAUUUCUCGAGUGACGUAACGGAGAGUCGGAGUUCGCCAAGUGGGCCGAAACCCGGUCCGCUAGAGGUUUAGAUUUUCUGAUCCGUCACAUUCAUGGUCUGGAAGCAAAAAGAAAUGCUAAUGGUUUGUUUCUCUCUCAAAUAAAGUAUGCACUUGAUUUGCUUGAUAAAUUUGACAUAGGUGGUGCCAAGCCUUGUACCUGUCCAGUUCCACUCCACAACAAACUUACAACUCACUCAGGUACACCUUUGUCAGAUGCUACAAC